ACAAACUUGGUCAUUUAGAGGAAGUAAAAGUCGUAACAAGGUUUCCGUAGGUGAACCUGCGGAAGGAUCAUUAAUGAGUUGAACUGAAGUUGUUCUGGUCUUUUGGGGCAAGUGAACGCUUCACUCAAUCCACCUUACACCUGUGAACCUCUAAGGGGAAAUACCAUUGGAUCUAAGUUGGAUAACAACGGUGGUCUUUGGUUGAUUACUCUUAGUCUAAGGGGAAAUACUAUUGUAUCUAAGUUGGAUAUAACAACGGUGAUCCUUGGUUUAUUACUCUUAGCCCUUUGGAUUACUUUGGAUCUAAGUUGGGUAACGACGGUGAUUCAAAGUUUUCCUCCUACACAAACUACAAACACUUAGAACGUCAUUUUUUUGCUUGAUGCAAAAUAAAAAAUACAACUUUCAGCAACGGAUCUCUUGGCUCUCGCAUCGAUGAAGAACGCAGC
RNAcentral lists this unclassified non-coding RNA (449 nucleotides) under uncultured fungus. Its description in RNAcentral is "partial contains small subunit ribosomal RNA, internal transcribed spacer 1, and 5.8S ribosomal RNA". The stretch from base 1 to 73 matches the Rfam family "Eukaryotic small subunit ribosomal RNA", at positions 1759 to 1831 of the family's 1831-position model. Lineage: Eukaryota; Fungi. The record is from RNAcentral.